GUUACACUGUCUACUGUCACGCACCAACCGCCAAGACAAAUUCCUUGUAUGUUUGACAUAUUUUAGCACUAAAUGUUUCCUGGUUCCUGAUUCCUGACAUGAGCUAAAGGACAUAUUUUUGGAUGCAGAGAUUGCUGCAGAACUGUCCGUCUGUCUUUUCCCUUCACUUCACCCGUUUGUCUGCUUCCUUUGCUCUCCUCCUGCGGCCCCCCUCUCUCUCUCUGCCGCGUGGCAGUUCAAAAGCCCAUCGGGACGAUGCUGAAUCUUUAAUGAUCGGGGCAGGUGAUCCCUCGAUUUCGUCGCUGUCAGAGCCGGCUGCUUUGAUGUCUGAUAUCGCACAAAGUAACGAAGCGACAGGCAGUUAAAAGCCAACGCACGAACAUAUACGGACCGGGAAAUUAAUCAGGCAAAGAUUGAGAAAAAUACAGAUGGAGGCCGGGAAGCAUAGAGGAAAAGACGAUGGACAGGCAGGCCAAAGAAAAAGACCCUCUCAAGAAUUUCCCAAACAGCACUUUGAACAGAAUGUAACCAAUGUUGUGCCUCUCCAGCAGGCCGCCCCUAUCAACGACUUUGGGCCCCACAAACCACCAGAAAGCAGGGUAC
Gasterosteus aculeatus aculeatus (three-spined stickleback) is the source of this 603-nucleotide long non-coding RNA. Lineage: Eukaryota; Metazoa; Chordata; Actinopteri; Perciformes; Gasterosteidae. The record is from Ensembl.